ACGGGAGGCAGCAGUGGGGAAUAUUGGGCAAUGGGCGAAAGCCUGACCCAGCAACGCCGCGUGAAGGAAGAAGGUCUUCGGAUUGUAAACUUCUUUUAUGAGGGACGAAGGAAGUGACGGUACCUCAUGAAUAAGCCACGGCUAACUACGUGCCAGCAGCCGCGGUAAUACGUAGGUGGCAAGCGUUAUCCGGAUUUACUGGGUGUAAAGGGCGCGUAGGCGGGGAUGCAAGUCAGGUGUGAAAUCUAUGGGCUUAACUCAUAAACUGCACUUGAAACUGCAUCUCUUGAGUGCUGGAGAGGUAAACGGAAUUCCUAGUGUAGCGGUGAAAUGCGUAGAUAUUAGGAGGAACACCGGUGGCGAAGGCGGCUUUCUGGACUGUAACUGACACUGAGGCACGAAAGUGUGGGGAGCAAACAGGAUUAGAUACCCUGGUA
Molecule: ribosomal RNA, 437 nt
Filed under: uncultured Oscillospiraceae bacterium
Lineage: Bacteria; Bacillati; Bacillota; Clostridia; Eubacteriales; Oscillospiraceae
Description: bacterial SSU rRNA
Rfam family: Bacterial small subunit ribosomal RNA
Source: RNAcentral